AUAUGUUUGACUAUGUAUUUGUCUUUAGUUGUUGUUUUCCAUCAAUUUUGUUAUGUUUAUUAGGUGUGUGUUUAGGUUAAAUUCAUUUUUCGUUGGUCUAAAUUUGAUGAAAUAUGAAAAUAAUAUUGUUAAUAUAUUUUUUUUCCUUUUUUCCUAUAAUUUUUUUUAUUCUUAAAAUUUAUGUUAAUUUGAAUUAAUGAUUAUUUGUUGAUUAAAUUUGUAUCAAAAUCAAAUUAUAUUGUAUAUUUUUACUAAAUGUUAUUCUAUAAUGUGAUAUUAUGUAUUGAUAUGGUUAUAUAUUAAUCAUUUAUUUUCUUGUUAAUAUUACUAAUAUUGAUUUUUAUGAAUAAUAAUUAUGUGAAAUCUACACUUUUAUUUUUGUUGACGUGAUUUGAUGAAGCAUGUUAUAAAUGGAUAUCCUUUUGUGUUCUUACGAACUUUUUAUUCUUGAUGUUUAUGUUUUUAGAUUAUAUUAUGUAUUGUUCACUAA
Molecule: long non-coding RNA, 490 nt
Filed under: Brassica napus (rape)
Lineage: Eukaryota; Viridiplantae; Streptophyta; Magnoliopsida; Brassicales; Brassicaceae
Description: long non-coding RNA (BNAP_LNC004665)
Source: RNAcentral